Molecule: small nuclear RNA, 104 nt
Organism: Neomonachus schauinslandi (Hawaiian monk seal)
Lineage: Eukaryota; Metazoa; Chordata; Mammalia; Carnivora; Phocidae
Source: RefSeq, a predicted model, not a curated record
GUCCUCACUUUGGCAGGACAUAUGUGAAAAUUGGAACGCUGCAGAGAUUAGCAUGGCCCCUGCCUGAGGAUAACACCCAAAUUUGUGAAGCCUUCCAGAUUUCC